CUUCACCGAGCCGAGCCACAACGGCCGCUCCGGCUCCCGCCCCUGGCCGUAUGUCGCCAGCAGCGCCUGCGCCUC
Molecule: antisense RNA, 75 nt
Filed under: Streptomyces sp. 846.5
Lineage: Bacteria; Bacillati; Actinomycetota; Actinomycetes; Kitasatosporales; Streptomycetaceae
Description: ASpks TB sRNA
Rfam family: ASpks TB sRNA
Source: Rfam by way of RNAcentral